AAAUACAAAAAAAAACUUUUCUAUAAAUAUCUGCUCUUCCACUUUUCCUUCCGACUUUUAAAAAUCUAUAUUUUGCCUUUUUAAAAUUUAUAAAAUAUUUUCAGAAGAUUACAGUAUUAAUGAAGCAAGGAAAAUGGCCAAAUUGUGUUUAUUUAUGUUAUAAGAAAAAAUUUAAAAUAUAUUUUAUAUAUUUUUAAAGCUAUUUUCAGUAUAAAUUAUAAAAAAUUGACAGAAUAAUGACGGAAACCUGAUAGAAAGGAGGGGGGACUAAAUAUAUCAACUUAAAUUUUUGGAGGUUAA
Molecule: long non-coding RNA, 300 nt
Filed under: Ananas comosus (pineapple)
Lineage: Eukaryota; Viridiplantae; Streptophyta; Magnoliopsida; Poales; Bromeliaceae
Description: long non-coding RNA (ACOM_LNC018284)
Source: RNAcentral